GAUGAACGCUGGCGGCGUGCCUAAUACAUGCAAGUCGAGCGAACAGACGAGGAGCUUGCUCCUCUGACGUUAGCGGCGGACGGGUGAGUAACACGUGGAUAACCUACCUAUAAGACUGGGAUAACUUCGGGAAACCGGAGCUAAUACCGGAUAAUAUAUUGAACCGCAUGGUUCAAUAGUGAAAGACGGUUUUGCUGUCACUUAUAGAUGGAUCCGCGCCGCAUGAGCUAGUUGGUAAGGUAACGGCUUACCAAGGCAACGAUGCGUAGCCGACCUGAGAGGCUGAUCGGCCACACUGGAACUGAGACACGGUCCAGACUCCUACGGGAGGCAGCAGUAGGGAAUCUUCCGCAAUGGGCGAAAGCCUGACGGAGCAACGCCGCGUGAGUGAUGAAGGUCUUCGGAUCGUAAAACUCUGUUAUUAGGGAAGAACAAAUGUGUAAGUAACUAUGCACGUCUUGACGGUACCUAAUCAGAAAGCCACGGCUAACUACGUG
Molecule: ribosomal RNA, 497 nt
Filed under: uncultured bacterium
Lineage: Bacteria
Description: partial 16S ribosomal RNA
Rfam family: Bacterial small subunit ribosomal RNA
Source: RNAcentral